This 1155-nucleotide long non-coding RNA is filed under the name Felis catus (domestic cat). Its description in RNAcentral is "lncRNA (ENSFCAG00000051280.1)". Lineage: Eukaryota; Metazoa; Chordata; Mammalia; Carnivora; Felidae. The record is from RNAcentral.
ACAAACUGCUGGAAGGAAGGAAGGAAGGAAGGAAGGAAGAGAGGAGGGAGGGAGGAAGAGAGGGAGGGAGGGAGGAAGGAAGGAAGGAAGGGAGGGAGGGAGGGAGGGAGGGAGGGAGGGGAGGGAGGGAGGGAGGGAGGGAGGAAGGAAGGAAGAGAGGAGGGAGGGAGGGAGGAAGGAAGGAAGGGAGGGAGGAAGAGAGGGAGGGAGGAGGAAGGAAGGAAGGAAGGAAGGAAGGAAGGAAGGAAGGAAGGAAGGAAGGAAGGAAGAAGGAAGGAAGAGAGGGAGGGAGGGAGAAGGAAAGGAGGAAGGAAGGAAGAAGGAAGGAAGGAAGGGAGGAGGGAGGAAGGAAGGGAGGGAGGAAGGAGGGAGGGAGGAAGAGAGGGAGGGAGGGAGGAGGAAGGAAGGAAGAAGGAAGGAAGAAGGAAGGAAGGAAGGGAGGGAAGGAAGGAAGGGAGGGAGGAAGGAAGGAAGGAAGGGAGGGAGGAAGGAAGGGAGGGAGGAAGGAAGGGAGAAGGAAGGAAGAGAGGGAGGGAGGGAGGAAGAGAGGGAGGGAGGAAGAGAGGGAGGGAGGGAGGAAGAAAGGAAGGAAGGAAGAGAGGAGGGAGGGAGGAGGAAGGAAGGAAGGAAGGAAGAAGGAAGGAAGGAGGAAGGAAGGAAGGGAGGAGGGAGGAAGAGAGGGAGGGAGGAAGAAGAGAGGGAGGGAGGAAGAGAGGGAGGGAGGGAGGAAGAAGGAAGGAAGGAAGAAGGAAGGAAGGAAGGAAGGAAGGGAAGAAGGGAGAAGGAAGGAAGGGAGGGAGGAAGGGAGGGAGGAAGGAAGGAAGAGGUGGAGGAGGGAAGGGAGGGAGGAAGACAAAAUGUGUAUCAUUUAGGGAGAGGUGUAAAUGGACAAUGAGCCCAUUAGCAAGUGAUAUGCUUUCCUUUCUGAGGUGUCACGGGUUCUGUGCUGCUUGGGGGACAGGAAGAUGUCUAGGAAUACCUGGGUGUCAAAAAAAGAGGAGAGAGUGGGAGAGGGGCAGGGAACAGAGAAGAGGGAGACAAUACACAGCAGCCUUGGGACUUGGUUCUGGAGCAAGAGGGAGAGAGCUGUGGACAUCGUUAAGGGGCAAAGCUAGAUUCUUGUGUCCUAUCAGCUCCUUCCAUGCUUCAGGGUAG